Molecule: long non-coding RNA, 571 nt
Filed under: Capra hircus (goat)
Lineage: Eukaryota; Metazoa; Chordata; Mammalia; Artiodactyla; Bovidae
Description: lncRNA (ENSCHIG00000003946.1)
Source: RNAcentral
CAGGACUGAGCGACUUUCACUUUUUUUUUCUCUUUAACUAAAAAGGAUUAUCCUUGGUUUUUAUUUUUUUUCCAAAUCUUGGUUCUGACUCUACAUACAUGAGAAGAGAAAGUAAUCUGAGGAAAAAUAGUUGCUUUUCUCUUCCAGUAGAGUUCCAUGGUUGUGAACAGUCUCAAGCCCAAUCUCUGGCCUUAUUCCUAUGUUCUCAAGUCCUGGUUGUCUCCACAGAGUCCAUUUUCUAUGAUAUGCUGAAGUCAGUCAAUUGCACUUUUUCCCUUGCCAGAAGUCACACAUAUUGGAUACCUGGUAUGCUGGGCCUACAAGCAUACACCCCUAACUUUAUAGGAGGAACAGUAUGGUAACAACUGCAAGGUGUGAUACCAUCGUUCAGCAACUGAAAUGUGACUUCCAAAUCAUGGAAAACAUUCUUUCAUAUCAACAUUGGACAACCUUAGUGUGAGCAGAUAUUUUUCUCAAAUACAUUAAUCAUCAGAUCAGAAGCAUCACUCCCUCAAUGUCAGAAUAUUGGAAGUUGGCUCCCAAUCACAAUUAAAUAAAAGUCCAAUAUCAG